UCCACCCUCUAAAAAAUAUUUAUCUGAAAGUAAUAUGAAUUUUACUUUGAUAAAAUUAAAGCAUUCCAGUAAAAUAUCUUUAUUUGUAUAGAUCUAGAUAAAUUAAUUCUCAUUUAUACAGCAUUAAUUUUUAUGAUGGAGUUUUUUGAGUCAUAUUUAAUUUGGUGCGGCGGCAUUGUGUUGUGUAUGACUGUUUUAGGAAUUAUUUUGAAACAGUGUUUUAAGGAUUCAGAAACUGGUGCCACCAAUGUUUACCAGCCAAAUGAUAGGUUGAUUAUUUUACGGACUAUAUUGCAUAUGAAAAUGCCAGGCGAUGGAUGGAGGAUCUUCCUUCUUAUGAAGAUGCUGUUUUACAUCUGUAUCAACCAAAUUAAGUUGGAAACGUUGGAAAUUAUAGCCAAAUAUAACUGUGAUAUUGUAUAUGUACAAUAAAGUGGAAUAUAAAGAUGAUGAUUUAAUAUAAACAAAUAUAUUUUAGAAGUUUUUAUCAUGGCUAAGACUAAUUGAUAGUUAAUACUAUAGAUUACACUUAUUUAUCUUAUCAGAGCAAAAAAAAUCAUUCGUAUUCAUGACUUAAACAUGGAUACAUUUCAAUUGUAUAUUAUAUGGUAUGGUGGAACAAUUACUGUUGUUGCUAUUAUCGUUUUGUUGUAUAAAAGGUGUUGUUUUUAUCGUCACCCAGAGCCAUUUGAGAGGGAAGAUUCUCCAAGGACUAUAGAAGAAGAUUCACCCCCGCAAUAUGACUUAUUCGUCGUUAGUGAUCACGUGACUUUAGAAAAUAAUGGUUCUGAUUUUGAUUAUUACUUGGACUAUCUGAGAUAUAUUACUCAAACAAAUGAAAUUGACUGUUUACCACCUUCUUAUGAAGAAGCCAUUCGAAUGUCAGAAAGACAAAUUUCGGAUACAUAGGUUAAAUAUGUGCAUUGUUAAUUGUUAAAUAAUUCAAGGAUUUGAAUCUGUGAUAUACUCGUAUGAUAAAUAAACGUAUUUUCCGUUUUUA
Molecule: long non-coding RNA, 1000 nt
Organism: Aethina tumida (small hive beetle)
Lineage: Eukaryota; Metazoa; Arthropoda; Insecta; Coleoptera; Nitidulidae
Exons: 2
Source: RefSeq, a predicted model, not a curated record